GACGAACGCUGGCGGCGUGCUUAACACAUGCAAGUCGAGCGGAGCGGCGAACGGGUGAGUAACGCGUGAGUAACUGCCCCCCUCUCUGGGAUAACAGUUGGAACCGGCUGCUAAUACCGGAUAGUGGGGGAUGCCUCGCGUCCUAUCAGCUUGUUGGUGGGGUAGUGGCCUACCAAGGCGACGACGGGUAGCCGGCCUGAGAGGGCGACAGGCCAAAUGGGGCUGAGAUACGGACAAAACUCCUACGGGAGGCAGGAGUGGGGAAUAGUGCGCAAGGGGGGAAACCCUGAUGCAGCAACGCCGCGUGCGGGAUGAGGGCCUUCGGGUUGUAAAACGCUUUCAGCGAUGACGCGGUAGUGGCAGAAGAAGCACCGGCUAACUACGUGCCAGCAGCCGCGGUAAUUC
Molecule: ribosomal RNA, 405 nt
Filed under: uncultured bacterium
Lineage: Bacteria
Description: partial 16S ribosomal RNA
Rfam family: Bacterial small subunit ribosomal RNA
Source: RNAcentral